Molecule: long non-coding RNA, 1894 nt
Organism: Pyrus x bretschneideri (Chinese white pear)
Lineage: Eukaryota; Viridiplantae; Streptophyta; Magnoliopsida; Rosales; Rosaceae
Exons: 2
Source: RefSeq, a predicted model, not a curated record
UCUAUAUUAUAGAUUUGUAUGGAUUUCUUAAGAUUUAUGUAGACUUUUUUCAUGAAUUUUUAUCAAAGUUACAAGUGGCUAAUACAUUUCUUCCCAAUUUGUUCUUCCACCAUUUCAAAUUAUAAGUUAUACAUAUCAACCCAAAAUCUAAGCAACAUCAAAUUCAUGUAAAAAAUUGCCGCAACAUUACAAAUAUUAUACAAAAACCAAUUAAAACCAACAUGAACUUCAUUAGACAAAAAAGAGGAGCAAAAAAACCCAACUGAUUCAUCAGAUACUUCUUUGAAGCAUUUAAUCAAACAACCUACGGGCCAAAUUUGCGUAACCCUAACUCACCAAACCAGCAAAGGAAAUUCCCCAAAAACAAUGUCUUUCCAUUUUCUAAUCAAACAAAAACAAACAUAAUUGGCAAAUUCACGAAUUGAAUCAAAUCCAAACGAAAAACCCAAUAUUUUUUUCAAUUGCAUGCGUCUAACCCACCCAAAAAUUGUUACAAUUUUGGUAAAUUCAAAUUUUUCCUACACCCCAAAAAAUUCAAAAUUUCUCUCCUAUUAAAGAAAAAGAUUGUCUUGGUAAACAAAACAAACAUAUUCCAAAAGAAUAAUCAAAGUAGAAACUAUGAAGAAAGAGUGAACUGAAAAAUCAAGAGGGUAAGAACAUGCCUAGGCUGUGAAUAUAUGCAACCUUCCUCCUCUAAAAAGACUUUCAGAAAAAUACAUCCCAAAACGAACUCUGAAGAAAACAAACCCUAAUUCGACAAAAGAUUGACAUGCAAACAGAAGAAAGAAGGAGAAGGCAAACCUAGUUAUGUCUUUGGUGGAAGACAGUACCACGAAAAGAAAUCAGAGGUGUAAUGGCUGGAUUCUUGAUGGCAUUUGGCAUUUAUAUACUAGGGGUGGGCAAACAGGUCUUGGAUCUGCGGGUAGGGACGGGUACAGGCGAGUACGGGGUGGGUCUAGUGUUUUAAAAUAUGAAAUGGGGCGGAUCGAAUUGGGUUCAUGUUAGUUGCGGGGCAAGGCGGGUCUAAAUUGCUAAGAAAACGAGCCCCUGGCCCGAACCGUAUACCUCGUCCAAUAUCUGGAGAUUUGAUCUCCUAGUCAUCUGCAGAUGUUUUCUCAGUCUCUGGAAGACUCGUUCCUCUCCAGACUAACCUUCCUCCCUCUCAACUCUCAAACAUCUUAACUUUGGACUCUCAUCCAUCUUGAUCUCUCUCUCCCAGAUUGACUCUCAGUCUCGUCCCCGUUAGGGGAUCCAGAUCCUUAUAUAAACGAGGGAUAAAAGUGGCGGCUCUGGUUGUGUCUCUUUGCUCCUUCCUUUGUCCCUGUUUUCGUAUUCCCAAGCCCUCAUCGCAUCUUUUUCUUCGGUAAUCUCUGUACAGUGCAUUUCAAUCAAUGGCUGCGAAUCACUGGUUGAAGCCCGAGGUUUAUCCAUUGUUCGCUGCCACAAGGGUCACCGUAGGGAUCUGUGGGUUAAAUCUGUACCGCCAUAUCACCAUCAACCCUGAAUGAGGUCCCUCCCACCCACCACCUGAUCACCAUCUCCGUAUAUCGAGGUCCCUGCCACACACCACCUGACCACCAUCUUCGUCGAAUGAGUUCAUCGACGCCAAGAACUUGAGUUUGUUGAGCCCCUUGUUGCGAUUAUGCUUCCAAUUUUCAAAAAACCCAAAUUGGUUUUGAUUUGGGUUUCCCAAUGGUUUUGUAGGGGAAUUUAAUUUAGGUUUUUCUGGGUUUUUUAGGGGUUUGGGAAAAUUUUGUGAUAUGGGUUUUGCAGGUAUUUUUUUCUUUCCUAAGUAGUUCAUCGACCAUGAAUUAGAAAUCAUGUAAUUUACUGGUUUUUGUUGAAUUUGUAACAGAAAUUUUACAUGAUGGACGUAACUUGCUCUUUGGUUCUA